This is an unclassified non-coding RNA of Macaca fascicularis (crab-eating macaque), 148 nucleotides long. It matches the Rfam family "Metazoan signal recognition particle RNA". Rfam says of the family: The signal recognition particle (SRP) is a universally conserved ribonucleoprotein. It is involved in the co-translational targeting of proteins to membranes. NCBI's taxonomy places the organism in Eukaryota, Metazoa, Chordata, Mammalia, Primates, Cercopithecidae. The record is from Ensembl.
GCUGGGUGUGGUGGUGCACACCUGUAGUCCCAGCUACUCAGGAGGCUGAGGUGGGAGGAUCACCUGAGCCCAGGAGGUUGAGGCUGCAGUGAGCCAUGAUCGCGUCACUACACUCCAGCCUGGGCAACAAAGGGAGACCCUGUCUCAA